ACGGAAGGUAGCAGUGGGGAAUAUUGCACAAUGGGGGAAACCCUGAUGCAGCGACGCCGCGUGAGCGAAGAAGUAUUUCGGUAUGUAAAGCUCUAUCAGCAGGGAAGAAAUUGACGGUACCUGACUAAGAAGCCCCGGCUAACUACGCGCCAGCAGCCGCGGUAAUACGUAGGGGGCAAGCGUUAUCCGGAUUUACUGGGUGUAAAGGGAGCGUAGACGGUCGUGCAAGUCUGAAGUGAAAGCUUGUGGCUUAACCAUGGAACUGCUUUGGAAACUGUACGACUAGAGUACCGGAGGGGUAAGCGGAAUUCCUAGUGUAGCGGUGAAAUGCGUAGAUAUUAGGAGGAACACCAGUGGCGAAGGCGGCUUACUGGACUGUAACUGACGUUGAGGCUCGAAAGCGUGGGGAGCAAACAGGAUUAGAUACCCUGGUA
This 434-nucleotide ribosomal RNA is filed under the name uncultured Lachnospiraceae bacterium. RNAcentral's name for it is "partial 16S ribosomal RNA". It matches the Rfam family "Bacterial small subunit ribosomal RNA", at positions 341 to 792 of the family's 1533-position model. Lineage: Bacteria; Bacillati; Bacillota; Clostridia; Lachnospirales; Lachnospiraceae. The record is from RNAcentral.